AUAGCUUCACGGAGGCUAGCCGGCCAAUUCCGUAAGUUGCAUCUCAUUAAUAUUUAGAAGCAUCCACAACACCAUCGUCUGCGCCAAAUAACAUACCCCCCUCCUACCACACACACCAAAUUAUAUUCUAUUGUUUCUCAUAAUUUCAUUGUCAGGAAUGCACAUUGUACGUGCACUAGUUUUUGUUUCAUUUUUAUUUGUUUCUUUUGGCAAAUUUAUUUUGCCUGAUUGAGCACUUGUAACAAUCCAGAUAUAGGGAACCUCAUGGGCCCAUCACGAUAUGUUUAUUCAUAUCAUGAAAUAAAUUAUACUACGAUACUUGUCAUUCUUCUAGUUGAUUAUUGUGCAUGGUUGACUCAUUCAACUAUGCUUCACUUGAAACUCUAGAGCGCUUCUUCGAUGUUGUAUGUUACCGGCCUUGCGGCACAGCGCCACAUUGCUCUUCUCUAGCAGAUUAGACUAAUUGUAUUAAUAUAUCCUUACCUCUUCACUCUUCUUGUCCAUGUGCAUGCCAUGCAUUUGGUGCUGAUAAGUUGGAUGCAUGAAACCAAACAUGGUCGCUCAGUCGGUCUUAUAUAUGGGCCUCAACUCACCUCACUCACAUGCAUGCACGACCAAUCGACUAGCUAGUUCUUGUCAAUCAGAUUUAAUCAACAAAACAAUGAAUAAAUGGUACGAGCAGCAAGCUAGCCUUAGAGUCUUCCAUGGAUGACUAAAUUUCCAAACCAU
This 729-nucleotide long non-coding RNA is filed under the name Hordeum vulgare. RNAcentral's name for it is "long non-coding RNA (HVUL_LNC020940)". Lineage: Eukaryota; Viridiplantae; Streptophyta; Magnoliopsida; Poales; Poaceae. The record is from RNAcentral.